RNAcentral lists this long non-coding RNA (923 nucleotides) under Elaeis guineensis (African oil palm). Its description in RNAcentral is "long non-coding RNA (EGUI_LNC065914)". The record is from RNAcentral. Lineage: Eukaryota; Viridiplantae; Streptophyta; Magnoliopsida; Arecales; Arecaceae.
UUCUAUUGUGAGUCCUGACUUGACGGAGGUCAUAAAAAACUCGUCAGACCCUAUCAUUAGUCAUAUGCUAGAUUAGCUUGACUCGAGUUCACUUGUGAAUCCCGUGAAAAUUUUUUUUCAAUAUUCACACUUACUUUGACCAAAGACUUUCUGAAUCUAGUCUCGCAAAUCGUAUAGGACUUCUCCUUUUCUAUCAAGAUUGAUAGAUUUCUUCUAGGUGCAUCCUACUCCUGACAGCAAACCUGAACCUACUGUAGCCAACAUACACAGCAAGGACCUGAAUGACUAGGGAUCAAAAAAAUGUGCAGUCAAAUUCAGUAGCCUCACUGCGAAUAGCCGAUGACACCACAAGUCAAAGGACCACUCACACCACUACAACAUCGAGACAACUACUGAUGAGUGAGUAGACAUCUAAGUGAUCUCUCAUGUUGGUCACACUCAGUACAAGUUGUCCUCAAACAACCACUUAUACUCUCAUCUCAGUGUCCCUAUACUGCAGACCCGAGACUCAUCUGCCCAUAAGAGAGGUGAACAGUGCAUCGAUCUUAAAUGGAUUGAUCACUGUCCUUUGUGAUGAUUCUUUGAUCGAGAGCAUUUAGAAACUAACCACUAAUAAUAUAUGUCUCAAAUUCUCAACACCUUUGAGAAUGUACAAAAUUAUCUUUGUUAAUUUUUAGGACAAAUCAUAGACACAUAAAUAUGAUUGAAAUAAAAAAUAUUUUAUUAAUAUAAAAAUAUUAUAAGUACAAAGGUAAGUUCUGGAAAUACAAAAUAUGUUAGCCAACAAUUGGCUUCUAGGGUACUCAUCUAACAAAUCGAUAUAACCAACUAUAACUAAACUCGAUCUUGAGCCCUUUUGACCUAAUCCUAAUUAACUAUUGAUUAGGUUCGAUCAAUUACUUAAAUUGAUAAGGACUUUAACC